RNAcentral lists this long non-coding RNA (453 nucleotides) under Phasianus colchicus (ring-necked pheasant). RNAcentral describes it as "lncRNA (ENSPCLG00000014223.1)". Lineage: Eukaryota; Metazoa; Chordata; Aves; Galliformes; Phasianidae. The record is from RNAcentral.
GUUUGAGCGGAGACACAGUAGAUGGCAGUGCAUAACAUAAAUUACUUCUGCGGUGCAUGCUUCUAUUCCCUGCAGUAGCUGCCCAGAGCCAGUGAGGUUACACUGGCAGGCAUUGCUUGUUUCCCUGGCUCAAUGCAGAAAAAAGGAGAAGGCUUCUGCGAAGCAACCAAGCUACUCCAAAGCGUCGCUUUUGCUCGGUGGAUCAAGACUGCUGAAUCAGCAAAGGCAACUGCUACUCAUUUAGCCAGCCGAAUCACUGUCCAGGGUGAGAGCUGUACACACAUACCUCCUCAAGACCCUUCCUUACAAGGCGUGGAGCACGCUCAUGGUGGCAGUAUUUAUGAGGGUGUUUCCAACCUGGCGUUUUUAACGGAUCUGAAUUCCAGCUGUAUUCUUGCCAUUGUGGAGAGCCAAACACACUUCCUUUAUGCUCAUGGAGAUUUUAGGAACUGA